RNAcentral lists this long non-coding RNA (1444 nucleotides) under Serinus canaria (Common canary). RNAcentral's name for it is "lncRNA (ENSSCAG00000007940.1)". The record is from RNAcentral. Lineage: Eukaryota; Metazoa; Chordata; Aves; Passeriformes; Fringillidae.
GUUCGAAACCUGCUGGCUAAGCAAAGCCCCGACUUGCCAUUAUUAUUUAAACAGGCGCUGCCGCGCUGCGCAGCCCCGCACGAGCACACGGACACGCGUGCACAGCCACACACAUGGGGACAGUCAUACAUGUACAGCCACACACAUGGGGACAGCCACUUAUGUGCACAGCCACACUUGUACAGACACACACACAUAUACAGCCACAUAUGUGCACAACCACACACACAUGUACAGCCACACACAGGGACAGACACACAUGUACAGACACACAUGUACAGCCAAAAUGUGCACAACCACACACGCACAUACAGCCACACACUCAUGUACAGUCAUACAUCUGCACAGCCACACAGAGACAGCCACAUGUGUACAGCCACACUUGUACAGACAUACACACACGUACAGCCACAAUGUGCACAACCACACACACACACAUACAGCCACAUAUGUAUAGCCACACGUGUACAGCCACACACUCAUGUACAGCCAUACAAGUACAGCCAUACAUCUGCACAGCCACACACACAGAGACAGCCACAUGUGUACAGCCACACACACAUACAGCCACACGUGUGCACAGCCACACACACAGAGACAGCCGCACGUUUGUACAGCCACACACACAUACAGCUGCACACGCAGAGACAGCCACACACAUACAGCCACACAUGCACACAGGACAGUCACAGAGCCACACGCAUGCACACAGCCACACAGACACACACACACACAUACACAGAGCCACACACAGAUGUGUGAGGCAGUGCCCGCACCCUCCCAGCCUGUGCUCCUCCUGCCCAUGGCAGGGCCCAGCUGGGGGUUCAGGGGGCUCCUCUCCCUCCAGGGCAGCCCUGGGCUGGGCAGCAGUGCGGGUGCCAUGCCGUGCCCGCUGUGCAGCAGAGAUCACCUCUGCAGAGGGAAGUGGCACCCCCAGGGCCUGUCCUUGGCGUGUGACUGUCACCGCUGUCACCACUCGAGCUCCCCGGGUUUGUGGUGUCAGCUUCAGCAGGGCCUUGUGUGAAGGGGAGUGGUGGCACACGGUUCUGUGCCCUGCACGGGUGACACGCCAGCACACACGUGUGCAUGCACACACAGAUGGAUACAGUGGGCUGUGCACACACCCGUGUGUUCAUGUUCUCAGCUGUGCUGGAUGAGACACAGUGUCACACGUGUGUGUGUGUGUGUCUGUGUGUGUGUGUGUGUGUGUGUGUGUGUGUGCAGGACGAAUGCACACACGUGUGAACACACAGGCUGCCCUGUGCAGGCACACACACCUCCCCAUGUGUCUGUGCAGCAGGAGGCACAUGUGGCCCCGCUGCAGUGGAGAUGCAGACGCUCCACACACAGGGAACAUGCAUGAACACACGUGCACAUGCAUGUACACAGAUCCANNNNNNNNNNNNNNNNNNNNNNNNNNNNNNNNNNNNNNNNNNNNNNNNNN